This 526-nucleotide ribosomal RNA is filed under the name Penicillium sp. 40n. RNAcentral describes it as "partial 18S ribosomal RNA". The stretch from base 198 to 350 matches the Rfam family "5.8S ribosomal RNA". The record is from RNAcentral. Lineage: Eukaryota; Fungi; Ascomycota; Eurotiomycetes; Eurotiales; Aspergillaceae.
UGACCUGCGGAAGGAUCAUUACCGAGUGAGGGCCCUCUGGGUCCAACCUCCCACCCGUGUUUAUUUUACCUUGUUGCUUCGGCGGGCCCGCCUUAACUGGCCGCCGGGGGGCUUACGCCCCCGGGCCCGCGCCCGCCGAAGACACCCUCGAACUCUGUCUGAAGAUUGUAGUCUGAGUGAAAAUAUAAAUUAUUUAAAACUUUCAACAACGGAUCUCUUGGUUCCGGCAUCGAUGAAGAACGCAGCGAAAUGCGAUACGUAAUGUGAAUUGCAAAUUCAGUGAAUCAUCGAGUCUUUGAACGCACAUUGCGCCCCCUGGUAUUCCGGGGGGCAUGCCUGUCCGAGCGUCAUUUCUGCCCUCAAGCACGGCUUGUGUGUUGGGCCCCGUCCUCCGAUCCCGGGGGACGGGCCCGAAAGGCAGCGGCGGCACCGCGUCCGGUCCUCGAGCGUAUGGGGCUUUGUCACCCGCUCUGUAGGCCCGGCCGGCGCUUGCCGAUCAACCCAAAUUUUUAUCCAGGUUGACCUC